This 1390-nucleotide long non-coding RNA is filed under the name Manihot esculenta (cassava). RNAcentral describes it as "long non-coding RNA (MESC_LNC002712)". The record is from RNAcentral. Lineage: Eukaryota; Viridiplantae; Streptophyta; Magnoliopsida; Malpighiales; Euphorbiaceae.
GGUGAUUGAAUAUUUAUUUUGGUUUUUGAAUAUAAUAACUUUAGUAAAAGUAUAUUAGUGUCAUGAUAAAUUUUUUAUUGUAAUUUAGUGAGAAAAAUUAAUUGUGAUUAAGUUUGAUAAAAAUUUAUAAAUGGUUAUUGAAUAUUUUUUGUGAUUUUGAAUAGAAUUAGUAAAUUUGUAUUAGUAUAGUAUUUGAUUGUAAUAUUAUAUAUUAUUCUGUAUAAUUAGAUAUGAAGGAAAGAUGCAACAGCCGUGAUUAUAUUUUAUCGGGUCCUAAUAACCCAUCGUUGUUCUAUGCAUAAUCAGAACAUCGGUCUGAGGCUAUAUGGCAACAAACUAUAAAAACUGGAGUGAUAGCCUGCAAAAGAAAGGGUACGAUUUUGCAUUUGAAUGAUAUUUCAAAGCAAAUUAUAACUCACCUACGGCAUACGGGUUUUUAUAGUGUGAUAUGUUUAGAUUUUUUUGCUUCGGUGGCGACUAGAGACCCAUACAUUUAUGUUUUCGGAAGGAGAAAUGACUAUUACCUUUCAGAAUGUGGAACUAAUUGUCAGUACAACCAUACAGACAUGUCCCGCCCCAGCUAUAAUUGUCGAUUUCAUCCAGAUCUGGCCAAUAACGCUAAAAACAUGAGAUUCACACAAGAAACAGAUGUAUCACUGAAAAUAGAUCCAAUGACCUUCAUAAUAUAUGCUCGUGCGAACCUCUGUACAACUUCCUCAUGAGCAUCAUCCGAAAGUUAACUAAACUCCUCAACUAGCCAGAUCAUUUUCAAAUAACACCCUCUUACGGCAUUAUUAGGUGGAACGACAUCUAAUAAUACAUCACAUACUAUUGGCCAAUGGUGACAUGAUCAGCAUGCAACAACUGCACCAUUAACCGACAACCUAGCAAUUAGCCCCACAUCCGCUUCUGAAAACAUAAAUGUAUGGGUCUUUAAUCGCCACCGCUCAACAAGAACAGUAAUUAGAUGUCAAUUCAAAGCAAAAAAAAACCUAAACGUAUCGCGCCAUAAAAACCCGCAUGCCGUAGAUGAAGUAUAAUUUGCUCUGAAAUAUCGUCUAAAUGCAAAAUCGUACACGUCCUUUUGCAGCCUAUCGCUCUAGUUUCUAUAGUUUGUUGCUAUAUAGUAACAUACCAAUGUUCUGAUUGCGCAUAUAGCAAUGAUGGGUCAUUAAGACCCGGUAAAAUAUAAACACGACGGUCACGGCAGUUGCGUCUUUCCUCCAUAUCUAAUUAUACAUAAUAAUAUACAAUAUCACAUCACAAUCAAAUACUAUACUAAUACAUAUUUAUUAAAUUUAUUAUAUUCAAAAUCACAAAAAAUUAUUCAAUAACCAUAUUAAAUUAUCAUUUAUAAAUUUUUAUCAAACUUAAUCACAAUUAAUUUUUC